CCUACGGGUGGCAGCAGUGGGGAAUAUUGGACAAUGGGCGAAAGCCUGAUCCAGCCAUGCCGCGUGUGUGAAGAAGGCCUUCGGGUUGUAAAGCACUUUCAGUGGGGAAGAAAGCCUUGGGGCUAAUACCCUCGAGGAAGGACAUCACCCACAGAAGAAGCACCGGCUAACUCCGUGCCAGCAGCCGCGGUAAUACGGAGGGUGCGAGCGUUAAUCGGAAUUACUGGGCGUAAAGCGCGCGUAGGCGGUCUGAUAAGCCGGUUGUGAAAGCCCCGGGCUCAACCUGGGAACGGCAUCCGGACCUGUCAGGCUAGAGUGCAGGAGAGGAAGGUAGAAUUCCCGGUGUAGCGGUGAAAUGCGUAGAGAUCGGGAGGAAUACCAGUGGCGAAGGCGGCCUUCUGGACUGACACUGACGCUGAGGUGCGAAAGCGUGGGUAGCAAACAGGAUUAGAUACCCCAGCAGUC
Molecule: ribosomal RNA, 465 nt
Filed under: Vreelandella stevensii
Lineage: Bacteria; Pseudomonadati; Pseudomonadota; Gammaproteobacteria; Oceanospirillales; Halomonadaceae
Description: partial 16S ribosomal RNA
Rfam family: Bacterial small subunit ribosomal RNA
Source: RNAcentral